Molecule: ribosomal RNA, 511 nt
Filed under: uncultured soil bacterium
Lineage: Bacteria
Description: bacterial SSU rRNA
Rfam family: Bacterial small subunit ribosomal RNA
Source: RNAcentral
GCUGGCGGCGUGCCUAACACAUGCAAGUCGAGCGAGAAAGUGGAGCAAUCCAUGAGUAAAGCGGCGCACGGGUGAGUAACACGUGACUGACCUACCCUCGAGUGGGGAAUAACUUCGGGAAACCGAGGCUAAUACCGCAUAACACCCACGGGUCAAAGGAGCAAUCCGCUUGAGGAGGGGGUCGCGGCCGAUUAGUUAGUUGGCGGGGUAAUGGCCCACCAAGACGAUGAUCGGUAUCCGGCCUGAGAGGGCGCACGGACACACUGGAACUGAAACACGGUCCAGACUCCUACGGGAGGCAGCAGUGGGGAAUUUUGCGCAAUGGGGGAAACCCUGACGCAGCAACGCCGCGUGGAGGAUGAAGUCCUUCGGGACGUAAACUCCUUUCGAUCGGGACGAUGAUGACGGUACCGAGAGAAGAAGCCCCGGCUAACUUCGUGCCAGCAGCCGCGGUAAUACGAGGGGGGCGAGCGUUGUUCGGAAUUAUUGGGCGUAAAGGGUGCGUAGGCGG